This 481-nucleotide ribosomal RNA is filed under the name uncultured bacterium. RNAcentral describes it as "partial 16S ribosomal RNA". It matches the Rfam family "Bacterial small subunit ribosomal RNA", at positions 28 to 523 of the family's 1533-position model. The record is from RNAcentral.
GACGAACGCUGGCGGCGUGCUUAACACAUGCAAGUCGAGCGGUAAGGCUCCUUCGGGAGUACACGAGCGGCGAACGGGUGAGUAACACGUGAGCAAUCUGCCCUUCACUUCGGGAUAACUCCGGGAAACCGGUGCUAAUACCGAAUACGACCACUUCAGGCAUCUGAUGGUGGUGGAAAGUUCCGGCGGUGAAGGAUGAGCUCGCGGCCUAUCAGCUUGUUGGGGGGGUAACGGCCCACCAAGGCAACGACGGGUAGCCGGCCGGAGAGGUUGACCGGCAACACUGGGACUGAGACACGGCCCAGACUCCUACGGGAGGCAGCAGUGGGGAAUAUUGGACAAUGGGCGAAAGCCUGAUCCAGCAACGCCGCGUGAGGGAUGACUGCCUUCGGGUUGUAAACCUCUUUCAGCAGGGACGAAGCGCAAGUGACGGUACCUGCAGAAGAAGCACCGGCCAACUACGUGCCAGCAGCCGCCGUAA